ACGAUUAUGUCACGUUGAAACAUCGGUUCUCGUCCGAUCACCUUAGUUAAGCAACAUCGAGCCUGAUCAGUACCUAGAUGGGUGACCGCUUGAGAAGAAUCAGGUGUUGUAA
Molecule: non-coding RNA, 112 nt
Organism: Acanthosepion pharaonis
Lineage: Eukaryota; Metazoa; Mollusca; Cephalopoda; Sepiida; Sepiidae
Source: the annotation of a GenBank genome assembly